AGUGAGCGUUGGUCUGGAUCACAGUGAAAACCCUCCUGUGACUAGAUUUUACACUCACUAA
Molecule: microRNA precursor, 61 nt
Filed under: Daphnia magna
Lineage: Eukaryota; Metazoa; Arthropoda; Branchiopoda; Diplostraca; Daphniidae
Source: RNAcentral